GACGAACGCUGGCGGCGUGCUUAACACAUGCAAGUCGAACGGAAAGGCCCUGCUUGCAGGGUACUCGAGUGGCGAACGGGUGAGUAACACGUGGGUGAUCUGCCCUGCACUUCGGGAUAAGCCUGGGAAACUGGGUCUAAUACCGGACAGGAGCCAUUUUUAGUGUGAUGGUUGGAAAGUUUUUUCGGUGUAGGCUGAGCCCGCGGCCUAUCAGCUUGUUGGUGGGGUAAUGGCCUACCAAGGCGGCUACGGGUAGCCGGCCUGAGUGGGUGGACGGCCACAUUGGGACUGAGAGACGGCCCAGACUCCUACGGGAGGCAGCAGUGGGGAAGACUGCACAAUGGGCGCAAGCCUGAUGCAGCGACGCCGCGGGGGGGAUGACGGCCUUCGGGUUGUAAACUACAUUCGCUAGGGACGAAGCUUUUUGUGACGGUACCUAGAUAAGAAGCACCGGCUAACUACGUG
This 465-nucleotide ribosomal RNA is filed under the name uncultured bacterium. RNAcentral describes it as "partial 16S ribosomal RNA". It matches the Rfam family "Bacterial small subunit ribosomal RNA", at positions 28 to 507 of the family's 1533-position model. The record is from RNAcentral.